GCCCUGUCGUGCUCUCAUUCGUCCCCUUAUCUCCUUCUCUCCUCCACUCCCCAUCGCGUCCCUCUCCUCAGCCGCCACCGCCAUCGCCGGGAGGGGCCGCCGCUCGCGUCGCUCUCCGCAGCCGCCACCGCCCCUCCCCUUCCAAACCCACCGAGAUGACGGCGUCGGCAAGGUCGGGUGGCUUGCUCGCGCUCACGGAGGCCGAGGUGGUCGCGGUGCUCUGGGUCGUGCGCCGCCUCCGUCGCCGGCAGGAGGGGGCCGCAGAGGCCGCCGCGCAGCCCAGCGACCAGGAGCUCCCCAGUGAGCAGCCGUUCCGCUUCGCCGUCUGCCUCGUCCUCUUUGCCGUCCUCACUCCGUCCUCUUCUAUGUUUUCUGGAUUUGCCGCCGUCGCCUUCUCCGCUCCCAAGAUAGCCUCGCUCUCCUCCUUGGUGCCCAGCGGGAGAGGCAGCGGACGAAAAUCGAUGACGCCGACCCCCUCCUCCACGGCAGCGCGUUCGUCCCCGACGACACCCAGCAGCAGCUCACUCCCGGCCAAAACGAGGCAGCGUUCCCAAAUGUGAAGCAACAACCCGCAGAAAGAUGAGCAGGAGCAGAUCGGGGAUGAAGCCAAGAUCUACGAUGGUGAUUCUUCCAAUAAAAUGAUGCAGGUGGCCAAUAGCUUGAUGGUGUCGUCGAUAUUGUCUCCUCCAGCGUCAAGGAACCAGCUAAAAACGUGAUCGUCAAGCAAGCGACGCUGAGCAAAUGUCAGGUGCCAUCACGCACCAUGGCGUGGCAAUCAGAUUGGCAAUGUGUUCGAUGCAGCGUACAAUGCCAAUGAUCAGUUCAUUUUUGUGGAUUGUUGUGGGGGAUUGAGGCUUUAAAGCACAUGAAUUGCAGCAGGAAUUGUUCAGGAUGCUACUGCUGUUGCUACUUGGCGCGUUACCAUCACCGGGAGGAGCGACGGCCAUCCACAUCGCCAUUGCCAUCGUCCUUCAGAUGGUUUACGUCUUAACUGUCUACAACAAAAACGAUAAACAGCACCGCAUCCGGGUACUAAUGUUGGUGUGAGCUCAAGGCAAAAGGCAAAACCCAUUUGUAGUUUCAGCUUUACGGGGUGUUGUCAGCAAUGAUUGAUGAGGUAAUUGGUUGAGCUACUUUUGGAAGGGGCGACGGAAAUCAUAAAAACUACGAUUGCAAUGGAGAUUCAACAUAUAGAAAGAUGGAAGAGAAUGCAGAAUGCCCAAAUAGGAGGACGUGUUGCUGCUCCUAUAUUUAUGGAGAUUGCUUUUUUAUGUGGAGAGGUUUUAUUGUUUCAACCGAGUCAAAUGCAAAAGGAAGGCACACAUCUGCUUCCCUCCUGAUGUUCACAUAUACUGUUGAUGUUGAAAUAAUUAUUAAAGACUGAACUAUAGAAAGAUGGGAUCAGAAUUAGGAGAUAUGUAAAUAUGUAAUUUCUCUCGAAGAUGAGCUCAGAAUUAGAAGAACCAUAUCUGUUGAUCUCUUUCACUAUCGUUAGGACCUGCUUUUGGUAUAUCAUGAUACAUUUUCCAUGACAUGCUCAAAGUGAUAUAAUGAACUGAACCAUUUUAUUAUUACAAGUUACUCCCUCUUAUGUCA
Molecule: long non-coding RNA, 1596 nt
Organism: Triticum dicoccoides
Lineage: Eukaryota; Viridiplantae; Streptophyta; Magnoliopsida; Poales; Poaceae
Exons: 7
Source: RefSeq, a predicted model, not a curated record